RNAcentral lists this ribosomal RNA (497 nucleotides) under uncultured bacterium. RNAcentral describes it as "partial 16S ribosomal RNA". It matches the Rfam family "Bacterial small subunit ribosomal RNA", at positions 28 to 507 of the family's 1533-position model. The record is from RNAcentral.
GAUGAACGCUGGCGGCGUGCCUAAUACAUGCAAGUCGAGCGAACAGACGAGGAGCUUGCUCCUCUGACGUUAGCGGCGGACGGGUGAGUAACACGUGGAUAACCUACCUAUAAGACUGGGAUAACUUCGGGAAACCGGAGCUAAUACCGGAUAAUAUAUUGAACCGCAUGGUUCAAUAUUUAAAGACGGUUUUGCUGUCACUUAUAGAUGGAUCCGCGCCGCAUUAGCUAGUUGGUAAGGUAACGGCUUACCAAGGCAACGAUGCGUAGCCGACCUGAGAGGGUGAUCGGCCACACUGGAACUGAGACACGGUCCAGACUCCUACGGGAGGCAGCAGUAGGGAAUCUUCCGCAAUGGGCGAAAGCCUGACGGAGCAACGCCGCGUGAGUGAUGAAGGUCUUCGGAUCGUAAAACUCUGUUAUUAGGGAAGAACAAAUGUGUAAGUAACUAUGCACGUCUUGACGGUACCUAAUCAGAAAGCCACGGCUAACUACGUG